ACAGGAAGACAUAAAGCCUGGCUGCCACUCUCUUAGACCUCUGUUGUUGGAGAUCCCUUUCUUGUUGGAGCUUUUCCUCUUGAGCUUAGGUAAUUGGGGAAGGAUACUCUUACUCGCCUGUCAGUAGCUUAACCCAAAUGAUACACAGAUCCACAGAUGACUGUUUAUGACACUAUCCUCAUACACCUGCUGUUGAGAGAUGGGAGCAUGCUCAGGACCCUUUGCUAGUGGGAUGUGAGUUGGCUGGCAAUUGUGUGGUUAUCCAGGUGUCAGGUUGCAGAGAGAUGUGCUGUCAAGAGACACCUGGACAGAUUUGAGAAAUUGGUCAAUAAAGGGGAAUGUGAAGCUUCACACCUGGGAAGGAUGAAGACCUUGCCCCAUGAGAUGCAGGGGAGCUGAUGAUCUGGAAUAGUAGCCUUGCAGAAAAGGGCCUGAGAGUCCUGGUGGUCAUAAAACUGAGAUGGAGACAACAUUAGGAGUUUUUUGAGAAACGAAUAUCUUCAAAAUUUUUUGCAAGUCUCAACAUAACUGAAACUUUUUGUAUUGGUGUUAUGUCUCCAAGUUUCACUCAACUAGUGAAGAAUUAAUUACCAAUACAUAUACGUUUAGGUAUUUUAUAAUUUACUUUUGAGUUUUCACACUCUGCCAAUUGAUAAACUUAACUUACAGUCCUUAUCUACUCCUGACACAGCUGAGUGCACCUGUCUCUAAGAUUACAUGGAGGAAAUAGAGUUUUAGCAGAAUAAAGGAAGAGAACUCAAAGAUAUUCCAAUGCAAAAAGUGAUUUUUCAAUGAAAGCUGGUAAUACACAGAAUGAAUAAAGAGAACUUACCUUGAAUUUCAGUUGCUUCAGCUCUUUCUUACAUUAUGAAAAAUCACUGCUUAUGCUUUAAGUUGACAGCUGAACAAGAGCCUGUGAGAUACUAAUAAACUUUUGAGUAGCAGAAAAGUUUUCUAUCUUGCAAGUGGCUAGUUUCUUGGAAA
Molecule: non-coding RNA, 984 nt
Organism: Coturnix japonica (Japanese quail)
Lineage: Eukaryota; Metazoa; Chordata; Aves; Galliformes; Phasianidae
Source: RefSeq, a predicted model, not a curated record